This 492-nucleotide ribosomal RNA is filed under the name uncultured bacterium. RNAcentral describes it as "partial 16S ribosomal RNA". It matches the Rfam family "Bacterial small subunit ribosomal RNA", at positions 29 to 507 of the family's 1533-position model. The record is from RNAcentral.
AGUGAACGCUGGCGGUAGGCCUAACACAUGCAAGUCGAACGGCAGCACAGUAAGAGCUUGCUCUUACGGGUGGCGAGUGGCGGACGGGUGAGGAAUACAUCGGAAUCUACUUUUUCGUGGGGGAUAACGUAGGGAAACUUACGCUAAUACCGCAUACGACCUACGGGUGAAAGCAGGGGAUCUUCGGACCUUGCGCGAUUGAAUGAGCCGAUGUCGGAUUAGCUAGUUGGCGGGGUAAAGGCCCACCAAGGCGACGAUCCGUAGCUGGUCUGAGAGGAUGAUCAGCCACACUGGAACUGAGACACGGUCCACGCUCCUAAGGGAGACAGCAGAGGGGAAUAUUGGACAAUGGGCGCAAGCCUGAUCCAGCCAUACCGCGUGAGUGAAGAAGGCCUUCGGGUUGUAAAGCCCUUUUGUUGGGAAAGAAAAGCAGCAGGUUAAUACCCCGCUGUUCUGACGGUACCCAAAGAAUAAGCACCGGCUAACUUCGUG